RNAcentral lists this ribosomal RNA (500 nucleotides) under uncultured bacterium. RNAcentral describes it as "partial 16S ribosomal RNA". It matches the Rfam family "Bacterial small subunit ribosomal RNA", at positions 30 to 523 of the family's 1533-position model. The record is from RNAcentral.
AUUGAACGCUGGCGGCAGGCCUAACACAUGCAAGUCGAGCGGUGGAGAGAAGCUUGCUUCUCUUGAGAGCGGCGGACGGGUGAGUAAUGCCUAGGAAUCUGCCUGGUAGUGGGGGAUAACGUUCGGAAACGGACGCUAAUACCGCAUACGUCCUACGGGAGAAAGCAGGGGACCUUCGGGCCUUGCGCUAUCAGAUGAGCCUAGGUCGGAUUAGCUAGUUGGUGGGGUAAUGGCUCACCAAGGCGACGAUCCGUAACUGGUCUGGGAGGAUGAUCAGUCACACUGGAACUGAGACACGGUCCAGACUCCUACGGGAGGCAGCAGUGGGGAAUAUCGGACAAUGGGCGAAAGCCUGAUCCAGCCAUGCCGCGUGUGUGAAGAAGGUCUUCGGAUUGUAAAGCACUUUAAGUUGGGAGGAAGGGCAGUAAAUUAAUACUUUGCUGUUUUGACGUUACCGACAGAAUAAGCACCGGCUAACUCUGUGCCAGCCGCCGCAGUAA